This 537-nucleotide ribosomal RNA is filed under the name uncultured bacterium. RNAcentral's name for it is "bacterial SSU rRNA". It matches the Rfam family "Bacterial small subunit ribosomal RNA", at positions 355 to 894 of the family's 1533-position model. The record is from RNAcentral.
UGAGGAAUAUUGGUCAAUGGACGUAAGUCUGAACCAGCCAAGUAGCGUGCAGGACGACGGCCCUAUGGGUUGUAAACUGCUUUUAUACGAGAAUAAUUUGAUGCACGUGUGCGUUAUUGCAUGUAUCGUAUGAAUAAGGACCGGCUAAUUCCGUGCCAGCAGCCGCGGUAAUACGGAAGGUCCAGGCGUUAUCCGGAUUUAUUGGGUUUAAAGGGAGUGUAGGCGGUUUGUUAAGCGUGUUGUGAAAUUUAGGUGCUCAACAUUUAACUUGCAGCGCGAACUGUCAGACUUGAGUACACGCAACGUAUGCGGAAUUCAUGGUGUAGCGGUGAAAUGCUUAGAUAUCAUGAAGAACUCCGAUUGCGAAGGCAGCAUACGGGAGUGUAACUGACGCUUAAGCUCGAAGGUGCGGGUAUCGAACAGGAUUAGAUACCCUGGUAGUCCGCACAGUAAACGAUGGAUGCCCGCUGUUAGCGCCUGGCGUUAGCGGCUAGGCGAAAGCAUUAAGCAUCCCACCUGGGGAGUACGCCGGNNCGG